RNAcentral lists this small nuclear RNA (104 nucleotides) under Aotus nancymaae (Ma's night monkey). The record is from RNAcentral. Lineage: Eukaryota; Metazoa; Chordata; Mammalia; Primates; Aotidae.
GAGCUCGCUUCCGCAGCACAUAUACUAAAAUUGGAACAAUACAGAGAUUAGCAUGGCCCCUGGGCAAGGAUGACAUGCAAAUUCAUGAAGCAUUCCAUGUUUAA